Molecule: long non-coding RNA, 1960 nt
Filed under: Eucalyptus grandis
Lineage: Eukaryota; Viridiplantae; Streptophyta; Magnoliopsida; Myrtales; Myrtaceae
Description: long non-coding RNA (EGRA_LNC002048)
Source: RNAcentral
UAUACAUUCCCAAAAACCUUAAGAACAAAAUAAUAAGAACAGUUAAUGAAUUGCCUUUCAAGUUUUCACUUAUUAGUUUUGGGUUUUCAAAAUACAGUAACAGAGAAUCAAAUGUAAAAAUAGAGCAUACAGAAACAAAAGGAAAAUGGCAUAAUUGUCCUCUGAUUUAAAACAUGUGGUCUCGUAUGCAUUACCAACAUGAACCGGAUAUCAAAAUAGAUAUUCAUUAAUAUCUCAUGAGAAAAAUAAGCUAGUUACCUGACUAGGGUUCUAAAAUCCACCAAUUCAGACAUACAUACAUAUAUAUACAUAUCUCCAAUGACUAAACAAGUAUACCCAAAAGUGCCAUUACAAAUUAUACAUAUACUUAUCUCAAGUCAUACCCAAAUUCAAAAUCCCUAAGAUUCCUUCACUGAUGUUGCUUUCCUCCUAUAUGUUGGCAACUGAAAAAGAUUUGAGAUGAAUGGUAUAAGCAAACCACCUCUCGGUAAAUAGUACAUAUCUCUUCUCAACAAAUCAAGCGUCAACAUGCAUAUUAUAAACAAUAAUAGAAACACGACCAAAUCUAGUAAAAUAAUAUAUGUAAAAGUCUAAAUAUGAGUUACAUCACUUCAACAAACUUUUUAUACAUAUCAGAAACACUCAUUUCGGUCAACAAUAUUAAAGCAAACAUCAAUGGUAACCACAUUUAAUGCCCCGUGACAAGGCUUACCAAGAUUCCCUCCUAGGCAUAGGUCCCCACUAAUGUCAACUAGCGGCUUUGGCCAUACAAGACAUCCUGAGAACAUGUAUGCUUACUCACAACCUUUCAAUGAUUUCAUAUCAUAGCAAUAAGAGGAUAAAACCAUCAACAUAAUCUUGUCGACAGCAAACACAUUUCAGAACUCAUUUAAUAAACGAGAGUCAAAAAUCAAUACAACCCUUCGCAAUUCCAUCCACAAGAAGAAUACAGUCAUGAAGAAUUUCUCAAAUUAUUUCAUAAAUAAUCAACUCUCCAAUUAUGCUAUUUCAAAUAACCAAAUGAGGUAGUAAAUGCAAUAUCCAGCCUUAUAUAUCAAAGAUGUUCUAAACACCAUUUUUAAAACUAAAUAAAUAUCAUGACAUGCAAUGUCUCAUUCAUAACUUAUAGCAUAUCUAAUUCCUGUGAUUUUUAAGCCGUGAGUUAACAAAUCAGAGAAGAGAUAAGCACCAAAAGCCAAAUUAAAAACCUUACCACCCGGAAAGCCUAAAAAUCCUAUCAAAGAAAGCAUUAACCAAAUGUCAAACUUACGUAUCACUAACCUCAACUAAGAUUCUACUAGGCAACGCUUAUUUUGGGAGUCAAAACGUCCAGUGCGAUUCGACAAAAAGGCCAUACAAGCAUCAAACUUGCUAUAGCGAAUAGAGCAGCAAUCUCAUCUUACGCUGUGAAUUUUAGCACGUCAUACAUCUCUACUGAACUAGUGAGUUUAUAGUCGAACGAGAGCUAAUUCAAAGUACUAAAAGACCCAAAACUCCUUAGAACCAAAAUUUGGCCAGCAACUAAUGAAAUUCGGGAUGAAACCCUACUAGUUGCAGUCAUUGUAAAUUAAUUUUUGAGAACUUCGAGAAAUCAAUAACUCUCAAGCGGCAAUCAGUGAAAUCUCACGAUCCCAAGACCAAUCUAAUCUUCCAAAACAACAUAAUGUUACGGUUCAACAAUCUCAAGAAUCAACCUAGCAACCCUAAAACCCAAAUCAAUCCAAAAUGGCAACUUAACAGAGCAAAUCUCUUUGAUUUCAUUAGAUGUAUUAAGGUCUCGAAUUCUUACUGAGUGCUCCAAAACGGUAUCAAUCUAGCUCUUCGUGGCCUCCAAACCAAAUCAUGCCAAAAGCCUCUUUCGCUCGCUCUCAGAUUCCACACCUUUUUCUUCUGCUUUCUCUUUCUUUUGCCGGCUCGCUCCUCCCCAUCUUUUUGUUGCUCCUGAUUUUUUUUACGAACC